UACGGAAGGGGCGAGCGUUGUUCGGAAUUAUUGGGCGUAAAGGGAGCGUAGGUGGUCCAUCAAGUGGAACUAUUCAGCGACGGGCUCAACCUGUCGAUUGGUUCCAAACUGAUGGACUUGAGUCCGCCAGGGGAUGACGGAAUUCCGGGUGUAGGGGUGAAAUCUAUAGAUAUCCGGAGGAACACCGAUGGCGAAGGCAGUCAUCUGGAGCUGGACUGACACUGAGGCUCGAAAGCCAGGGGAGCAAACG
RNAcentral lists this ribosomal RNA (250 nucleotides) under uncultured bacterium. RNAcentral describes it as "partial 16S ribosomal RNA". It matches the Rfam family "Bacterial small subunit ribosomal RNA", at positions 524 to 774 of the family's 1533-position model. The record is from RNAcentral.